GGGCCGUUAGCUCAGCGGUAGAGCAGUGGACUUUUAAUCCAUUGGUCGAGAGUUCGAUCCUCUCACGGCCCACCA
RNAcentral lists this transfer RNA (75 nucleotides) under Rhodanobacteraceae bacterium. RNAcentral describes it as "tRNA-Lys". It matches the Rfam family "tRNA". From Rfam's summary of the family: Transfer RNA (tRNA) molecules are approximately 80 nucleotides in length. Their secondary structure includes four short double-helical elements and three loops (D, anti-codon, and T loops). Further hydrogen bonds mediate the characteristic L-shaped molecular structure. tRNAs have two regions of fundamental functional importance: the anti-codon, which is responsible for specific mRNA codon recognition, and the 3' end, to which the tRNAs corresponding amino acid is attached (by aminoacyl-tRNA synthetases). tRNAs cope with the degeneracy of the genetic code in two manners: having more than one tRNA (with a specific anti-codon) for a particular amino acid; and 'wobble' base-pairing, i.e. permitting non-standard base-pairing at the 3rd anti-codon position. Lineage: Bacteria; Pseudomonadati; Pseudomonadota; Gammaproteobacteria; Lysobacterales; Rhodanobacteraceae. The record is from RNAcentral.